UCAAGCUACUAAGGGCAUACGGCGGAUGCCUAGGCACUAAGAGCCGAUGAAGGACGCGGUAAGCUGCGAAAAGCUACGGGGAACCGCAAGCAGGUUUUGAUCCGUAGAUGUCCGAAUGGGGAAACCCACCAGCCGUAAUGGGCUGGUAUCCUUAGGGAAGGGAACCCGGUGAACUGAAACAUCUAAGUAGCCGGAGGAAGAGAAAUCAAACGAGAUGCCCACAGUAGCGGCGAGCGAAGAGGGCAGAGCCUAAACCGGGAAGCUUCGGCUUUCCGGGGUUACGGACUCACAUAAUUCAAGUUUAUCCUAGCCGAAUUACCUGGAAAGGUAAGCCACAGAGCAUAAAAGCUGCGUAGGUUAAAGGACGAGCGAGAAGGUGAGUAUCCAGAGUACCACGAAGCACGAGGAAUUUUGUGGGAAGUCGGGGGGACCACCCUCCAAGGCUAAACACUACUUAGUGACCGAUAGCGCAUAGUACCGUGAGGGAAAGGUGAAAAGAACCGCGGGAGCGGAGUGAAAGAGAACCUGAAACCGUAUGUCUACAAGCAGUCGGAGCGCAAGCGACGGCGUGCCUAUUGAAGAAUGAGCCAACGAGUUGCGGGCACUAGCGAGGUUAAGCAGGAAAUGCGGAGCCGUAGGGAAACCGAGUCUGAAAAGGGCGAUGAGUUAGUGUUCGCAGACCCGAAACUGUAGUGAUCUACCCAUGAUCAGGUUGAAGCACAGGUAAAAUUGUGUGGAGGACCGAACCGGUGAGUGUUGAAAAACUUUCGGAUGAAUCGUGGGUAGCGGUGAAAUUCCAAUCGAACGCAGAGAUAGCUGGUUCUCCUCGAAAUAGCUUUAGGGCUAGCCUCAAGCAGUAAGCAUAGGCGGUAGAGCACUGAUCGGGAUAGGGACUGUAAUGGUUACCGAACCCUGUCAAACUACGAAUGGUUAUGCUGCAGAGCUUGGGAGUCAGACUACGAGAGAUAAGUCCCGUUGUCAAAAGGGAAACAGCCCAGACCAUCAGCUAAGGUCCCCAAUGCCAUACUAAGUGGAAAAGGAUGUGGGGUCUCAUAAACAACCAGGAUGUUGGCUCAGAAGCAGCCACCAUUUAAAGAGUGCGUAAUAGCUCACUGGUCGAGAGGCCCUGCGCCGAAGAUUCCCGGGGCUAAAGUAUGGAACCGAAGCUAUGGAUGCAAGCUUAGGCUUGCGUGGUAGAGGAGCGUUCCCAUCGGGUUGAAGUCGUACUGUAAGGUACGGUGGACUGGUGGGAAGUGAGAAUGUUGGCAUGAGUAGCGAAAAGAAAGGUGAGAAUCCUUUCCACCGAAAGCAUAAGGAUUCCUGAGCAACGAUCGUCGUCUCAGGGUAAGUCGGGACCUAAUCCGAGGCAAAGAGCGUAGGAGAUGGACAACUGGUUGAUAUUCCAGUACCGGCAGCAAUCGUUUGAACAAUGGAGUGACGCAGGAAGGCAGGUCCGCACGAGAUUGGUAGUUCGUGUGCAAGCAUGCAGGCUGGUGUACAGGCAAAUCCGUACACUGAGGCUGAGGUGUGACGCGGAGGGAACUUGUUCCCGAAGGGAUUGAGCCUACGCUGCCGAGAAAAGCUUCUAGUGAGAAAGCUGCCGCCCGUACCGUAAACCGACACAGGUAUGCGGGGAGAGAAUCCUAAGGUGCGCGGGAGAACCCUCGUUAAGGAACUCGGCAAAAUGUACCCGUAACUUCGGGAUAAGGGUAGCCAUCGUGGUGAAGGGACUUGCUCCUGGAGCCUAGGAUGGUCGCAGAGAAGAGGCCCAAGCGACUGUUAACCAGAAACACAGGUGCCUGCGAAAGAGAAAUCUGAUGUAUAGGUGCUGACACCUGCCCAGUGCUGGAAGGUUAAAGAAGGAUGUCCGGGUUCGACCCAAAGCAUUCGACUGAAGCCCCAGUGAACGGCGGCCGUAACUAUAACGGUCCUAAGGUAGCGAAAUUCCUUGUCGGGU
RNAcentral lists this ribosomal RNA (1957 nucleotides) under metagenome. Its description in RNAcentral is "bacterial LSU rRNA". It matches the Rfam family "Bacterial large subunit ribosomal RNA", at positions 3 to 1977 of the family's 2925-position model. The record is from RNAcentral.